Molecule: long non-coding RNA, 630 nt
Organism: Erinaceus europaeus (western European hedgehog)
Lineage: Eukaryota; Metazoa; Chordata; Mammalia; Eulipotyphla; Erinaceidae
Exons: 3
Source: RefSeq, a predicted model, not a curated record
AAAUGUGUUAGUUCUCUGGUGAAUCCAGAAAGCCUCCCAAAGCAGGAGCAUGGGGCUGUGCAGCCAGCAGGGCUGGGAUGCCUCCUCUGCUCUAAUGGUGCUUGUUAGCCAGAGACGGCAGCAGCUGGCCUGAGCACGCCGUCAGAGGGCACUGAGUGGAGCAAUAAGGCAGAGGAGAGAAGCCGGAUCUGCAGUAUUUGACCCCACAGCUCCCCACCAUGCAUGUGUGCAGCUGCCUCCACCACCAAGUUGCAGAUGCUACCAUGAUGCCAACCUGACUUCUCUGGACAGACGACCUCACCAAUGUGUCCUGAAAACCUACUUCCCCAGAGCCCUACCCCACUAGGGAAAGAUAAAAACAGCCUGGAGGUAUGGAUGGACCUGCCAAUGCCCAUGUCCUGCAGAGAAGCAAUUACAGAAGAUCCACAUAAAGAUCUUUGGUCCAUACUCCCAGAAGGAUAAAGAAUAGGGACAGUUUCAAUGGAGAGGAGGGCAUAUGGAACUCUGGUGGUGGGAACUGUAUGGAAUUAUACCCCUUUUAUCCCAUAAUCUUGUCAAUCAUUAUUAAAUCACCAAUAAAAGUUAUAUAUAAAAAAAGAAAGAAAGGAAAAAGAAAACAAGGAAAAACAG